GAUCAACUGGGGAGGAAGGCACAGCAUCUGGCGACACACGAGCCAAAACACCAACAAACACGUUGAAGUCAAUUUCAUAGAAAAAUUUACUACAGAAAGAUACUUUUGUCCAAACACCAGAUGCUCCAUUACCUGGUUCCUGUCCUGGAGUCCCUGUGGGGAGUGCUCCAGGGCCAUUACAGAAUUUUUGAGCCGAUACCCCCAUGUAACUCUGUUUAUUUAUAUAGCACGGCUUUAUCACCACGCAGAUCCUCGAAAUCGGCAAGGACUCAGGGACCUUAUUAGCAGCGGUGUUACUAUCCAGAUCAUGACGGAGCAAGGUGAAGACAAAGCGCUCCUGGGAGCGUGGGGAUCGUAAAGGGGGCAGACAGAACAGGCGGGUGAUGCUGGGAUGGAAUCCGAGAGGCAGAAAAAGUCCAACCUUAAGUGAGGGAGGAAGGACCUUCCCAGCAAGGGAAGGAUGAACAAUAACAACUCCUUCUACUCUGGGUACAGCCGCCUCCCAGUCACCUUAUCUUCGUUUGAUGGAGGGAGACCCCCUCUAGCAGCAAAUAGGAGAGCCUUUAUGUAGGGCGCAUGCCCUGUGGUUGUUGCUACUGGGAAUUGAAGUCAAAGCCUUGCACGUGCUAAGCCUACCUACCUGGGAGACAAGCUCGCUACUUCUGAACUACAUCUCUGCUCUCUUUAGUGUUUAUUGGAGGCAGGGUCCUUAAGUGGCUACCCCUGGAUUAGCCGCAGGCUGGCCUUGAAUUUGCAAUUUCCCUGCUUCAGCCUUCUGAAAAGCUUGGACUGCAGGCAUGAGCCACUCUGCCCAGAUCAUGUUAGGUCAUUUACCAUUGUGUUUGUUAAAUAAAUGAAAUUCUGUGUUUCUUUAGAGUCUGGCUACUGCUGGAGGAAUUUUGUCAACUACUCCCCUUCGAAUGAAGCUCAUUGGCCAAGGUACCCCCAUCUGUGGGUGAGGCUGUACGUACUGGAACUCUACUGCAUCAUUUUAGGACUUCCACCCUGUUUAAAUAUUUUAAGAAGAAAACAACCUCAACUCACGUUUUUCACGAUUGCUCUUCAAAGCUGCCAUUACCAAAGGCUACCACCCCACAUCCUGUGGGCCACAGGGUUGAAAUGACUUCUGGGAGUUGGGGAUGGAUGAAAUGACUCCUUGUAUGUCUUGACAGCAAGCAUUGAUUACCCACUAAAGAGCGACUGCCACAAGGAAUCU
RNAcentral lists this long non-coding RNA (1216 nucleotides) under Rattus norvegicus (Norway rat). RNAcentral describes it as "long non-coding RNA NONRATT021821". The record is from RNAcentral. Lineage: Eukaryota; Metazoa; Chordata; Mammalia; Rodentia; Muridae.